RNAcentral lists this small nuclear RNA (174 nucleotides) under Mus pahari (shrew mouse). RNAcentral describes it as "predicted gene, 24291 (MGP_PahariEiJ_G0033495.1)". It matches the Rfam family "U1 spliceosomal RNA". From Rfam's summary of the family: U1 is a small nuclear RNA (snRNA) component of the spliceosome (involved in pre-mRNA splicing). The record is from RNAcentral. Lineage: Eukaryota; Metazoa; Chordata; Mammalia; Rodentia; Muridae.
AUACUUACCUGGCAGGGGAGAUAUGAUCAUGAAAGGGGUUGUGCUUUUUUUUUUUUCCAAGCAGGAAAUGUUAUCCAUUGCACUCUGAUAUGCUGGCCCUUUGUAACUUCCCCAAAUGUGGGAGCCUCAACGACAUCACUUGUGGGAGUGGGGAAGACUGUGUUUCUGCUCUCC